AAGUACAAGAAGGCACUCAGGCCGUUUAUUGUGAUUGCAACCCUCUUUUUUUGGGAUUUACGACCAGCCCAUUAUUGUGACUAGUAGGACCCAAGGGUGACUAGUCGGACCCAUGGGUCUAAGAUUCCACGAUAGAUCCGUGAAUCGUUUUAUUAACUUGCGGAUUUUUAUUUGGUCCGUAGACUCAUGGCAUGUUGGCCAUGAUCUUCUGUGACGGGAAAGACUUAUUCUUGGGUAGGUCUUAAUGGUCUUGACUUCCGAUUUCCUCGGCCAGGCCUUCCUGCUCUUGCCUAUCAUUGGUAGUUGAUCUUCAGGCGUGCCGCGUACCACGUUCUCGGGAGGGGGCAUCCGUCGAGGCCUUUGAGUUCGUAUGCUUUGUUUCCCAAUGCUCGCGUGACUUGGUAGGGUCCUUCUCAAUUAGGCCCGAGCUUGCCUGGUCUUGGGUUUUUUGUGGUAACCGCUGCUUCUCGCAGCACAAGAUCGUCCACUCGGAAUUAUGUUGCAGUGCUCCGAUAGGCCCAGAGGAUGGCUGGUAAUGCAUCUGCCCACUGCCCUCGGGAUCCUUCUACUCGGGUCUUAAGGGUUGGCCAGUAAGAUCCUUGCCGAGUGGUUUUAUGGGCUAAGGCUGUUCCCCUGAGAUGAUUACCACAUGCUCCAUUAUGAAUCUCGUGGAGGAUGUAAUUCGCUUCGACUGGGGAUAAGCAUCUUGGGAGAGAGUACGACCUUCGAUAAAGUGUGUCAUUGAUCAUUACAUAUCUCGCUGCCUAUUGCUUUAUCUUUCGCGCUUCAAUGGCUUGUGGGGUAGCAGCCAUCUCGCAGGUACUUAAUAAUAGGGGUCAUCCAGUCUUCCCCGGCAUCUUGGGAUGCCACCUCAAUUUCCGAUAUCAUUUUGAUGCAAUAUGGUUUCCACCAGGAUUGUGCGAUUCUCAUGGUUAUUUGGGCACCGGCUAAUUUUGCUAGCGCGUCAGCAUGGCUAUUGUUGGCUCGAGACACCUGCCUCACCGUUACUUCUUAAAAUGCGCUUUUCAUUUGCUUCACUCGUAUUAAGUACCUAGCCAGUGUCUCUUCUCGUGUAGCGUAGGUUCCGUUUACUUGGUUCACCUCAAGCAUGGAGUCACCGUACGCAUUGACCAUUUCUGCCCCCGUUUGUCUUGCUAUCUUUAAUCCCGUGAUCAACGCUCCGUAUUCAGUAACAUUAUUAGUUGCUGGAAACCCAAACCUCAAAGCAUAUUCCAUUAUUAUUUCAUUUGGGCAAGUUAAAACAACUUAUUACAGAGUAUAUCUUGCCAAGAUUAACGGAGAUUUGUUAUACCCUUGUAUAUUAACUAGCCCUAUUAGUUACAUACAUAUUAGGGAAUAGAUAUCUUAGAAUUCUUUCCUCUUUUCAUGUAAUCGACGGUAUAUGUACAUGAUCAAGCAUGAACGAAAUCAAGCUUUUAGCUCAGCAA
Non-coding RNA from Punica granatum (pomegranate), 1448 nucleotides. Lineage: Eukaryota; Viridiplantae; Streptophyta; Magnoliopsida; Myrtales; Lythraceae. The record is from RefSeq and is a predicted model, not a curated record.